UAGGGAAUCUUCGGCAAUGGGGGCAACCCUGACCGAGCAACGCCGCGUGAGUGAAGAAGGUUUUCGGAUCGUAAAGCUCUGUUGUAAGAGAAGAACGUGUGUGAGAGUGGAAAGUUCACACAGUGACGGUAACUUACCAGAAAGGGACGGCUAACUACGUGCCAGCAGCCGCGGUAAUACGUAGGUCCCGAGCGUUGUCCGGAUUUAGUGGGCGUAAAGCGAGCGCAGGCGGUUUAAUAAGUCUGAAGUUAAAGGCAGUGGCUUAACCAUUGUUCGCUUUGGAAACUGUUAAACUUGAGUGCAGAAGGGGAGAGUGGAAUUCCAUGUGUAGCGGUGAAAUGCGUAGAUAUAUGGAGGAACACCGGUGGCGAAAGCGGCUCUCUGGUCUGUAACUGACGCUGAGGCUCGAAAGCGUGGGGAGCAAACAGG
This 429-nucleotide ribosomal RNA is filed under the name bacterium. RNAcentral's name for it is "partial 16S ribosomal RNA". It matches the Rfam family "Bacterial small subunit ribosomal RNA", at positions 355 to 776 of the family's 1533-position model. The record is from RNAcentral.